UCCUUUUUUGGAUUUGAUAGCUUCGUACGCUAUUUUAUAAAUUAAAGGUUUGAAUAAGGAU
Molecule: transfer RNA, 61 nt
Filed under: Ulva sp. A AF-2021
Lineage: Eukaryota; Viridiplantae; Chlorophyta; Ulvophyceae; Ulvales; Ulvaceae
Description: tRNA-Thr
Source: RNAcentral